RNAcentral lists this long non-coding RNA (1098 nucleotides) under Nicotiana tabacum (common tobacco). RNAcentral describes it as "long non-coding RNA (NTAB_LNC001651)". Lineage: Eukaryota; Viridiplantae; Streptophyta; Magnoliopsida; Solanales; Solanaceae. The record is from RNAcentral.
UUUUUUCUCUUUGGUUAUUUAUUCUUUGUAUUUAUAGUUCAAGUUGUGUUACUAUAUAGGAAUGUGUGUUUUAUGCGCUUAAGAAUUCGACAUGAUCAUUAUUAUGCAAUUCAGAUUUGGUACAACUUUUUCAUACUUGAUUGGUGUUUUUUCUCUUUUGUCUCUGUAUUAAAUUUUUUUUAAUACUUUUUGAAUCAGGUUUUGGCAGAGUAUGACGGGGACUCUGGUGAAAAAUUUUACGCUUCGUAUUUUCCUAUUCCAUUUGAAUUUCACAGUGUUUAUCUUGAAAGUGGAAUUAGGUUUUGGCACAGUAUGAGUCCAACCAUAUGGAUUCAGGUGAAACUUUUAUAUCUUCUUUCUUCCUUUCCAUUUGGUUUUUCAAUAUUUUCUUGACAGUGUGAUUUGUAAGAGACAAACUGAAAAAAGAAAACUGAGAUAAUCAUAUUACUGUAUCUUAUAGCUUCAUGAUUCCUUGCUUGCUUUUAUUUUUUAUCCAAUAUUUGUGCAGUACUUGAUAAGUAAUAUUAUUCAAGUACAAAAGGUAAACCUUUAAUAUUUUGAUAAGAUUUUUCCUAAAUUGGAUAUGUUGAUUGAGAACUCCUUCAUGCUACUUUCUCCAUGUUUUUUUAAUCUCGGAGUUGAAUGUUCUGCACUCAAUAUUAAAGUAUAGAAGAUCUUUUGGUUUUUAGCUUGAUACUACGAAGAUGGAUAUAAAGCAUGUCUAUAUUGCAGCCUUGCAUGUAUGAUGUUACUGCAACUUAAUAAUGAUACAACUUUUAUUUUUAUGCAGGGUUACAGCUGAACAUUCAAAUAAUAACCCUCCAAAGCAACAAUAAACUGUUGAUGUGAGACAUUGGCGAAAUGGGGAAUAGUCUUGCAGACUAUAAAAAAUUUAUAAAGAGUCUGACAAGAAACAAUGAGAGCCUUAUAACUUUUGUUAAAAGAAAAUUCAUAUAUAUUUUAAUUGAAACAAACUCAAAUUAGUACUGAAGUGAGGAAGGUAUUGUGAGAAAAGCUUAUAAUCAUCAUAUAAUCCAAACAUAUGUGUAUCAUCCUUUUUUUUUUAAAUCAGUGAAUGUAUACCAUUUUUUAAUUAAC